This 443-nucleotide ribosomal RNA is filed under the name uncultured bacterium. Its description in RNAcentral is "partial 16S ribosomal RNA". It matches the Rfam family "Bacterial small subunit ribosomal RNA", at positions 338 to 795 of the family's 1533-position model. The record is from RNAcentral.
CCUACGGGCGGCUGCAGUGGGGAAUAUUGGGCAAUGGAGGCAACUCUGACCCAGCAACGCCGCGUGAAUGAUGAAGGUCUUCGGAUUGUAAAGUUCUGUGAUGGGGGAUGAACACAAUGACGGUACCCCAAUAGCAAGCCACGGCUAACUACGUGCCAGCAGCCGCGGUAAUACGUAGGUGGCAAGCGUUCUCCGGAAUGACUGGGCGUAAAGGGUGCGUAGGUGGUUUAGUAAGUUGGCGGUGUAAUUCCGGGGCUCAACCUCGGCGCUACCGCCAAAACUAGUUGACUAGAGUGCAGGGGGGGUAAGUGGAAUUCCUGGUGUAGCGGUGGAAUGCGUAGAUAUUAGGAGGAACAUCAGGGGCGAAGGCGACUUACGGGACUGUAACUGACACUGAGGCACGAAAGCGUGGGGAGCAAACAGGAUUAGAUACCCGUGUAGUC